RNAcentral lists this ribosomal RNA (497 nucleotides) under uncultured bacterium. RNAcentral describes it as "partial 16S ribosomal RNA". It matches the Rfam family "Bacterial small subunit ribosomal RNA", at positions 28 to 507 of the family's 1533-position model. The record is from RNAcentral.
GAUGAACGCUGGCGGCGUGCCUAAUACAUGCGAGUCGAGCGAACGGACGAGAAGCUUGCUUCUCUGAUGUUAGCGGCGGACGGGUGAGUAACACGUGGAUAACCUGCCUAUAAGACUGGGAUAACUUCGGGAAACCGGAGCUAAUACCGGAUGAUAUUUUGAACCGCAUGGUUCAAAAGUGAAAGACGGUCUUGCUGUCACUUAUAGAUGGAUCCGCGCUGCAUUAGCUAGUUGGUAAGGUAACGGCUUACCAAGGCAACGAUGCAUAGCCGACCUGAGAGGGUGAUCGGCCACACUGGAACUGAGACACGGUCCAGACUCCUACGGGAGGCAGCAGUAGGGAAUCUUCCGCAAUGGGCGAAAGCCUGACGGAGCAACGCCGCGUGAGUGAUGAAGGUCUUCGGAUCGUAAAACUCUGUUAUUAGGGAAGAACAUAUGUGUAAGUAACUGUGCACAUCUUGACGGUACCUAAUCAGAAAGCCACGGCUAACUACGUG